GGUCGUUACGUACCAGUCCCGGACGAACCUUAGGAAACUAGGGGUGCUUCCUAUCUAGGAAGAAUCUGGAGACAGGUGACGUGCAUGGCUGGUCGUCAGCUCGUGUCGUCGAGAGUGUUGGGUUAAGUCCCGCAACGAGCGCAACCCUUGCCUUUAGUUGCCAGCAGUUCGGCUGGGCACUCUAAAGGGACUGCCGGUGUUAAACCGGAGGAAGGUGGGGAUGACGUCAAGUCCUCAUGGCCUUUAUGACCAGGGCUACACACGUACUACAAUGGCCGAUACAAAGGGCAGCGACACUGCGAGGUGAAGCCAAUCCCGUAAAAUCGGUCUCAGUCCGGAUUGGAGUCUGCAACUCGACUCCAUGAAGUUGGAAUCGCUAGUAAUCGUGGAUCAGCAUGCCACGGUGAAUACGUUCCCGGGCCUU
Molecule: ribosomal RNA, 424 nt
Filed under: uncultured Desulfobulbus sp.
Lineage: Bacteria; Pseudomonadati; Thermodesulfobacteriota; Desulfobulbia; Desulfobulbales; Desulfobulbaceae
Description: bacterial SSU rRNA
Rfam family: Bacterial small subunit ribosomal RNA
Source: RNAcentral